Molecule: ribosomal RNA, 400 nt
Filed under: uncultured microorganism
Description: bacterial SSU rRNA
Rfam family: Archaeal small subunit ribosomal RNA
Source: RNAcentral
GCGCAGCAGGCGAGAAUACUUUACAAUGUGCGAAAGCACGAUAAGGGAACUCUGAGUGCCUCCUAAGGAGGCUGUUCAGGUGUCUAAAAAGCACCUGGAGUAAGGGCUGGGUAAGACCGGUGCCAGCCGCCGCGGUAACACCGGCAGCCCAGGUGGUAGCCACUUUUAUUGGGUCUAAAGCGUCCGUAGCCGGUUGAGUAAGUUCCUUGGGAAAUUUGGCUGCUCAACAGUCAAGCUUCCAGGGAAUACUGCUCGACUUGGGACUGGGAGAGGUCAGAGGUACUCCAGGGGUAGGGGUGAAAUCCAUUAAUUCCUGGGGGACCACCGGUAGCGAAGGCGUCUGACCAGACCAGGUCCGACGGUGAGGGACGAAGGCUAGGGUCGCGAACCGGAUUAGAUA